AUUCGCGUGUAGCAGUGAAAUGCGUAGAGAUGUGGAGGAAUACCGAUGGCGAAGGCAGCCCCCUGGGCCAAUACUGACGCUCAUGCACGAAAGCGUGGGGAGCAAACAGGAUUAGAUACCCUGGUAGUCCACGCCCUAAACGAUGUCAACUAGUUGUCGGGUCUUCAUUGACUUGGUAACGUAGCUAACGCGUGAAGUUGACCGCCUGGGGAGUACGGUCGCAAGAUUAAAACUCAAAGGAAUUGACGGGGACCCGCACAAGCGGUGGAUGAUGUGGAUUAAUUCGAUGCAACGCGAAAAACCUUACCUACCCUUGACAUGUAUGGAAUCCUGCUGAGAGGUGGGAGUGCCCGAAAGAGAGCCAUAACACAGGUGCUGCAUGGCUGUCGUCAGCU
Molecule: ribosomal RNA, 395 nt
Filed under: uncultured Pseudomonadota bacterium
Lineage: Bacteria; Pseudomonadati; Pseudomonadota
Description: bacterial SSU rRNA
Rfam family: Bacterial small subunit ribosomal RNA
Source: RNAcentral